This 203-nucleotide long non-coding RNA is filed under the name Homo sapiens (human). Its description in RNAcentral is "HSALNT0318060". Lineage: Eukaryota; Metazoa; Chordata; Mammalia; Primates; Hominidae. The record is from RNAcentral.
GCCUUCGGCAAGACCAGGUAGCGGGCGCGUGCACGUAAAGGGGCCUCGGGCGCGCGCACGUCCAUCACCAGCUGCUUCCCGGCGCCCCUCCUCGCCCUCUAAUUUAGAUCGGUGGCGGCAGGGAGACAUGAGACAUCGAUCAACAUAUCUAAGAUGAACGAUGGAUUGGUCCGGAAAGAUGGAGUCUCACCCUGUCGCCCAGG